GACUUUUCGAAUCCGUGUAGGAAUUUCGUCAGACACCAACCCAUUUGGGCUGAUCAGACUUCCAAGAUAAGUGAAGUU
Molecule: microRNA precursor, 78 nt
Filed under: Schistosoma mattheei
Lineage: Eukaryota; Metazoa; Platyhelminthes; Trematoda; Strigeidida; Schistosomatidae
Description: mir-3492 microRNA precursor family
Rfam family: mir-3492 microRNA precursor family
Source: Rfam by way of RNAcentral